RNAcentral lists this long non-coding RNA (521 nucleotides) under Callithrix jacchus (white-tufted-ear marmoset). RNAcentral describes it as "lncRNA (ENSCJAG00000073986.1)". The record is from RNAcentral. Lineage: Eukaryota; Metazoa; Chordata; Mammalia; Primates; Cebidae.
ACGGAGUUUUGCUGGAGUGCAAUGGCACAAUCUUGGCUUACUGCAGCCUCUGCCUCCCAAGCUCAAGCAAUUCUGCCUCAGCCUCCCAAGAUGCUGGAAUUACAGGCUGUCACUCUGUCACCCAGGCUGGAGUGUGGUGGUAUGAUCACAGCUCACUCUAGCCUUGAACCCCUGAGCUAAAGGGAUCCUCCUGCCUCAGCCUCCAGAGUAGCUGGGACUACAGUAUAUACAUGAAGAAACCCAGCUACGUGCACAUGUGUGGAGUACUCUUGGGUAGCACGAGCAGGUCAGGCAAUGGCAAAUGGUGUGAUGUGACCUUGAGUCAACAUCAGAGGUCAAAGUUUUGGGAGAUACCCGGAGCCUAUGAUCAGAAAGGAUGUGUGCUGACAUCAUCACCACCUUUGUCUUUCAGGGUAAGAAUAUGUUUUAAAUAUUUUGAAAUUAGUAACCACAGAAAAGUUAAGGAACCAAAUAAGCAGUGGGAAUAUAUGCAAAGAAACCCCCCUUUUUAUUUCUUAUAA